RNAcentral lists this ribosomal RNA (253 nucleotides) under uncultured bacterium. RNAcentral describes it as "partial 16S ribosomal RNA". It matches the Rfam family "Bacterial small subunit ribosomal RNA", at positions 524 to 776 of the family's 1533-position model. The record is from RNAcentral.
UACGGAGGGUGCAAGCGUUGUCCGGAUUUAUUGGGUUUAAAGGGUGCGUAGGCGGCCCGGUAAGUCAGUGGUGAAAGCCUCCAGCUCAACUGGAGAACUGCCAUUGAUACUGCCGGGCUUGAGUACAGACGAGGUUGGCGGAAUUGAUUGUGUAGCGGUGAAAUGCAUAGAUACAAUCAAGAGCUCCGAUUGCGUAGGCAGCUAACUAGGCUGUAACUGACGCUGAGGCACGAAAGCGUGGGGAGCGAACAGG